GACGAACGCUGGCGGCGGGCUUAACACAUGCAAGUCGAACGGAAAGGCCCUGCUUGUGUGGGGUGCUCGAGUGGCGAACGGGUGAGUAACACGUGAGUAACCUGCCCUUGACUUUGGGAUAACUUCAGGAAACUGGGGCUAAUACCGGAUAGGAGCUCCUGCUGCAUUGUGGGGGUUGGAAAGUUUCGGCGGUUGGGGAUGGACUCGCGGCUUAUCAGCUUGUUGGUGGGGUAGUGGCUUACCAAGGCUUUGACGGGUAGCCGGCCUGAGAGGGUGACCGGCCACAUUGGGACUGAGAUACGGCCCAGACUCCUACGGGAGGCAGCAGUGGGGAAUAUUGCACAAUGGGCGGAAGCCUGAUGCAGCAACGCCGCGUGCGGGAUGACGGCCUUCGGGUUGUAAACCGCUUUCGCCUGUGACGAAGCGUGAGUGACGGUAAUGGGUAAAGAAGCACCGGCUAACUACGUG
This 468-nucleotide ribosomal RNA is filed under the name uncultured bacterium. Its description in RNAcentral is "partial 16S ribosomal RNA". It matches the Rfam family "Bacterial small subunit ribosomal RNA", at positions 28 to 507 of the family's 1533-position model. The record is from RNAcentral.